CGGGACGGGUGAGUAAUGUCUGGGAAACGUGCCUGAUGGAGGGGGAUAACUACUGGAAACGGUAGCUAAUACCGCAUAACGUCGCAAGACCAAGAGGGGACCGUUCGGGCCUCUUGCCAUCGGAUGUGCCCAGAUGGGAUUAGCUAGUAGGUGGGGUAACGGCUCACCUAGGCGACGAUCCCUAGCUGGUCUGAGAGGAUGCCAGCCACACUGGAACUGAGACACGGUCCAG
This 232-nucleotide ribosomal RNA is filed under the name uncultured bacterium. RNAcentral's name for it is "partial 16S ribosomal RNA". It matches the Rfam family "Bacterial small subunit ribosomal RNA", at positions 100 to 334 of the family's 1533-position model. The record is from RNAcentral.